AGCAGCCGCGGUAAUUCCAGCUCCAAUAGCGUAUAUUAAAGUUGCUGCAGUUAAAAAGCUCGUAGUUGAAUUUCGGGAUCAUCAUGUCGGUCGUGCCUCGGUACGUACUGGCAUUGUUGGUUUCUACCUUCUGACGAACCAUGAUGUCAUUUAUUUGGUGUCGUGGGAAAUCAGGACUGUUACUUUGAAAAAUUAGAGUGUUUAAAGCAGGCUCACGCUUGAAUACAUUAGCAUGGAAUAAUGAAAUAGGACGUUUGAUUCUAUUUUGUUGGUUUCUAGGAUCGACGUAAUGAUUAAUAGGGAUAGUUGGGGGCAUUAGUAUUCAAUUGUCAGAGGUGAAAUUCUUGGAUUUAUUGAAGACUAACUACUGCGAAAGCAUUUGCCAAGGAUGUUUUCAUUAAUCAAGAACGAAAGUUAGGGGAUCGAAGACGAUCAGAUACCGUCGUAGUCUUAACCAUAAACUAUGCCGACUAGGGAUCGGAU
RNAcentral lists this small RNA (483 nucleotides) under uncultured Glomus. Its description in RNAcentral is "SSU rRNA". It matches the Rfam family "Eukaryotic small subunit ribosomal RNA", at positions 569 to 1058 of the family's 1831-position model. The record is from RNAcentral. Lineage: Eukaryota; Fungi; Glomeromycota; Glomeromycetes; Glomerales; Glomeraceae.